GAAACCCAACCACCGUGACGGCCGAAGUCACCCCCUCCGCUUCCGCAGAUGACGAUGAAGACGAUGAAACAGGAGCCACGGCAUCUCCUACUCAACCGGACGGCACAGCAGCAGCAAGUAAAAGCGCUACAGACGAUCUGACAAACCCGGAAGACGGAAUGACAUCAACCGAUCAAUCACUGC
Long non-coding RNA from Strongylocentrotus purpuratus (purple sea urchin), 183 nucleotides. RefSeq lists it as uncharacterized. The transcript has 3 exons. Lineage: Eukaryota; Metazoa; Echinodermata; Echinoidea; Camarodonta; Strongylocentrotidae. The record is from RefSeq and is a predicted model, not a curated record.